CCUACGGGGGGCAGCAGUGGGGAAUAUUGGACAAUGGGCGAAAGCCUGAUCCAGCCAUGCCGCGUGUGUGAAGAAGGCCUUCGGGUUGUAAAGCACUUUCAGUGGGGAAGAAAGCCUUGGGGCUAAUACCCUCGAGGAAGGACAUCACCCACAGAAGAAGCACCGGCUAACUCCGUGCCAGCAGCCGCGGUAAUACGGAGGGUGCGAGCGUUAAUCGGAAUUACUGGGCGUAAAGCGCGCGUAGGCGGUCUGAUAAGCCAGUUGUGAAAGCCCCGGGCUCAACCUGGGAACGGCAUCCGGAACUGUCAGGCUAGAGUGCAGGAGAGGAAGGUAGAAUUCCCGGUGUAGCGGUGAAAUGCGUAGAGAUCGGGAGGAAUACCAGUGGCGAAGGCGGCCUUCUGGACUGACACUGACGCUGAGGUGCGAAAGCGUGGGUAGCAAACAGGAUUAAAUACCCGAGUAGUC
This 465-nucleotide ribosomal RNA is filed under the name Vreelandella stevensii. RNAcentral's name for it is "partial 16S ribosomal RNA". It matches the Rfam family "Bacterial small subunit ribosomal RNA", at positions 338 to 795 of the family's 1533-position model. Lineage: Bacteria; Pseudomonadati; Pseudomonadota; Gammaproteobacteria; Oceanospirillales; Halomonadaceae. The record is from RNAcentral.